RNAcentral lists this ribosomal RNA (253 nucleotides) under uncultured bacterium. Its description in RNAcentral is "partial 16S ribosomal RNA". It matches the Rfam family "Bacterial small subunit ribosomal RNA", at positions 524 to 776 of the family's 1533-position model. The record is from RNAcentral.
UACGAAGGGGGCUAGCGUUGCUCGGAAUCACUGGGCGUAAAGCGCACGUAGGCGGCUUUCUAAGUCAGGGGUGAAAUCCUGGAGCUCAACUCCAGAACUGCCUUUGAUACUGGAGAGCUUGAGUCCGGGAGAGGUGAGUGGAACUCCGAGUGUAGAGGUGAAAUUCGUAGAUAUUCGGAAGAACACCAGUGGCGAAGGCGGCUCACUGGCUCAUAUCUGACGCUCAGGCGCGACAGCGUGGGGAUCAAACAGG